GAUGAACGCUAGCUACAGGCUUAACACAUGCAAGUCGAGGGGCAGCAUGGUCUUAGCUUGCUAAGGCCGAUGGCGACCGGCGCACGGGUGAGUAACACGUAUCCAACCUGCCGUCUACUCUUGGACAGCCUUCUGAAAGGAAGAUUAAUACAAGAUGGCAUCAUGAGUCCGCAUGUUCACAUGAUUAAAGGUGUUCCGGUAGACGAUGGGGAUGCGUUCCAUUAGUUAGUUGGCGGGGUAACGGCCCACCAAGACAACGAUGGAUAGGGGUUCUGAGAGGAAGGUCCCCCACAUUGGAACUGAGACACGGUCCAA
This 315-nucleotide ribosomal RNA is filed under the name uncultured bacterium. Its description in RNAcentral is "bacterial SSU rRNA". It matches the Rfam family "Bacterial small subunit ribosomal RNA", at positions 28 to 334 of the family's 1533-position model. The record is from RNAcentral.